This 753-nucleotide ribosomal RNA is filed under the name uncultured bacterium. RNAcentral's name for it is "bacterial SSU rRNA". It matches the Rfam family "Bacterial small subunit ribosomal RNA", at positions 576 to 1330 of the family's 1533-position model. The record is from RNAcentral.
CGGUUGGGAAAGUCAAAUGCGAAAUCCCGGGGCUCAACCUCGGAACAGCAUUCGAAACUUCCCAUCUAGAGGAUAGGCGGAGAAAUUGGAAUUCCACAAGUAGCGGUGAAAUGCGUAGAUAUGUGGAAGAACACCAGUGGCGAAGGCGAAUUUCUAGCUUAGACCUGACGCUGAGGCGCGAAAGCAAGGGGAGCAAACAGGAUUAGAUACCCUGGUAGUCCUUGCCGUAAACGAUGUAUACUUGGUGUAACUGGACUCAACCCCAGUUGUGCCGAAGCUAACGCGAUAAGUAUACCGCCUGGGGAGUACGCUCGCAAGGGUGAAACUCAAAAGAAUUGACGGGGACCCGCACAAGCAGUGGAGCAUGUGGUUUAAUUCGAUGCAACGCGAAGAACCUUACCCAGACUUGACAUGCAGAAGACAGUGCUAGAGAUAGCAUCUUCCUUCGGGACUUCUGCACAGGUGCUGCAUGGCUGUCGUCAGCUCGUGCCGUGAGGUGUUUGGUUAAGUCCAGCAACGAGCGCAACCCUUAUCAUUAGUUGCCAACAUUUAAGGUGGGAACUCUAAUGAGACUGCCUGGGUUAACCAGGAGGAAGGUGAGGAUGACGUCAAGUCCGCAUGGCCCUUAUGUCUGGGGCUACACACGUGCUACAAUGGUCGGUACAGAAGGCAGCGAAGCCGCGAGGUGGAGCAAAUCCGUAAAGCCGAUCUCAGUUCAGAUUGUAGUCUGCAACUCGACUACAUGAAGACGGA